RNAcentral lists this unclassified non-coding RNA (259 nucleotides) under plant metagenome. RNAcentral describes it as "partial contains small subunit ribosomal RNA and internal transcribed spacer 1". The stretch from base 1 to 46 matches the Rfam family "Eukaryotic small subunit ribosomal RNA", at positions 1786 to 1831 of the family's 1831-position model. The record is from RNAcentral.
AAGUCGUAACAAGGUUUCCGUAGGUGAACCUGCGGAAGGAUCAUUACCGAGAUAGGGUCCCCCCGGGGGCCCGAACCUCCCACCCUUUGUCGUCGAUCAAAAUGUUGCUUUGGCGGGACCGUCGCGCCGCGUCUCCCCUUCGGGGGCUCCGUGGCCGGCUGCCGGGCGUCCGCGCCGGGUAAGUGCCCGCCAGAGACCAAACCAACCCUAGUUGUAAUACCGUCUCGUCUGAGUCUUAUACGAUUAAAUUCAAUCAAAA